GGGAACCCACUGGAACACCUCUGCCACCUCCGAGCCUGCUCAGCCAGCCUCUCUCUGCCCACCGACUCCCUCUGCCCACCGAGCAGCGACUGCCGACCAGCUCCUCAGCUAUGUAAGAGCAAUUUACCAUCUGAGGAGCGAGAAAUAAGGUAAAAUGGCUUUUUGCUUUUGAAAAGAGUAUGUUUUCCUUUUGAAAUGUAAUGAGUGAUAGUCUUCUCUUUACUGAAUAACAAAACUUCCUUCCACAUAGCAGGAAGAUCACGGAGAAAAUUUGGUAAGAAUUAAUCUUACACUGCCUCUUAGGAAAUUUCAAUUUAAUGGUUUUUAAAAUGCUGACUUAACCUCUUUUUCAGUAAACUCCAGUUGCCGGAACUCAGUAGUACUUGCUGAAUACUUGUAAUGCGUUAGGAAAACGAAGAAGCUUCCCGAGUAGGUAAGUAUUGGUAAUGUUCUCAAAACACAAAGGGCAGACAGGAUUUCCAAGAGUACUCCACUUCUAAGACUUUUAGGGAAUCUGAGUUGAAAAUUAACCUGCCGCCAGUAGUUACAUAUAAGUUAAGAGUUAAAAGAGAGAGAGAAAGACCUUCUGCCUGACUCCCUCUCCUCUCCCUCCCCCCACCCCACCCAGUCCUCUAGAGAGUGGAAUUUCUCCACCCCUUUCCCCUAAUUGGGUGGGGCUGCUUUCAGAGCUGCCCCUCCCCUGAAUCCCUCCCACUAGCCUCCAAAUAUCCCUUAUGAAGGGAGAUGGGAUGGGGGCUGGCAUCUGGCCCAGCGCCAUCUCAUGCUGCUCCUCCCCCUUAAUCAACCCCCAGAUUAUUCAUCACACCCUUAUCCUUAUCCCUCCUUUUCCCCUAGUAAUCCAUGCCAAACCUCUUCUUUACACUCCACCUGCUGGUACCCACUGCCCUUGCCCCAAUCCAGAAAGGCCCUUCAGACUCUUAGCUCUGUUGCCGUUUACAAGUUAAAGGCUUUUGGGGAAGCCACUCCCUUCAUCGAGUCUCAGACGUUUCUGCCAUUGUCUCUUACAGAUUUCCGAGCUGCUGGUUGAGACAAAGUCAUUCAUGGUACCUCUCUGGCUUUGUUUCCUUAAGUCAUGUAAUAAAUCUUUCUCAAACUGCCUUAGCCUUUCCACUGGAGACCUGUGACUUCACGUGAAUCCUUUAGGAGAAAUAGCAGCACGCCAUGGUUUGUAGAGAUAAGGUGAUGCAAACCAUCGUGGGCUGUUACAUUUUCCUAAAGGGCAUGUCAAUCAAGCCAGAAGACCAAAGACCCCCACUCAGCUAUUGCUUCGUGGUCAAGCCCACAGCUCUGCAGCUGGGUUGGUGGCUUUUUGAACCUGGCUUCGUACGAGGCUCGAUGCUUUGAGAGGACUCCCAGUUUCAGCUCGGCUGUGCCCUAGCAGCACGUCAAAACUGGAGUUAUCUAGUUAAAUCCUCCAGUAUUGCCUUGCUGCUUGAGUGAGGUAGGAGCCUGGUUCAAUUGCCCCACCCAGAAGACGCCAACCCGGCAACUUCGAGGAAGUCCAAGCAAGCUUGCAAGCUUACAAGCUCAAGACACCUUAGGCUCUUAAGGAGUCCAUACUAGAUUCUGUGAAUAUAUUUGUGUGUUACUCCCCCCAAAAUAAAUGUUCUC
This is a non-coding RNA of Phascolarctos cinereus (koala), 1632 nucleotides long. The record is from RefSeq and is a predicted model, not a curated record. NCBI's taxonomy places the organism in Eukaryota, Metazoa, Chordata, Mammalia, Diprotodontia, Phascolarctidae.